Xenia sp. Carnegie-2017 is the source of this 731-nucleotide long non-coding RNA. RefSeq lists it as uncharacterized. The transcript is spliced from 2 exons. The record is from RefSeq and is a predicted model, not a curated record. NCBI's taxonomy places the organism in Eukaryota, Metazoa, Cnidaria, Anthozoa, Malacalcyonacea, Xeniidae.
UUUUCAUUUGGAGGAAAUUGAUGAAGUUACAUGUGCUGUAGACUUUCGUUUUAAGAAACACGAAAUUCCUUUGCUGGCUGAAGCGUUAGAUUUUCCUCAUCGUUUCAAAUGUAAACAAGGAACAGUUUGUGAUGGGCUGGAAGCUCUCUGCCUUGUCCUUCGUCGGUUUGCUUAUCCAUGUAGAUACAGUGAUCUUGUACCGCAGUUUGGCAGGUCUGUUCCAGAACUCAGCAUGAUCAUGAAUACCGCUGUUGACUACAUUUUUGAGAGAAGGAAGAAGGCAUGAUUCUGCCAUGCUGGCUGAGUCAGGACUUCUGAAUGACCUUGAAGAGUUUGCUCAUUGGAAUGGAAAACCCAUGUGUCUAUAUGGAGAUCCUGCAUAUCCUCUGCGCAUUCAUUUGCAAGCACCAUACCGAAACCUACCACUAACCAUGCCAAUGGAAGAAUUCAAUAAGUCAAUGAGUGCUGUGAGAAUAUCAGUGGAGUAGAUUUUUGGUGACAUUAUAAACUACUUUAAAUUCCUUGAUUUUAAGAAGAAUCUAAAAAUUAGCUUAAGUUCUGUGGGCAAAAUGUAUAUAGUUGCAUCACUGCUUAGAAAUGCUCUAACUUGUCUUCAAUCAAAUAUGACAAGUGAUUUUUUUCAGUUGGAGCCACCCUCUCUUCAAACGUAUUUCUCAUAAUUUUUUUGUGAAUAUUUCUUGUUUCUCAUAAAUUGUAAUUACAAAUUAUUA